RNAcentral lists this ribosomal RNA (251 nucleotides) under uncultured bacterium. Its description in RNAcentral is "partial 16S ribosomal RNA". It matches the Rfam family "Bacterial small subunit ribosomal RNA", at positions 524 to 776 of the family's 1533-position model. The record is from RNAcentral.
UACGGAGGGUGCAAGCGUUAUCCGGAUUCACUGGGUUUAAAGGGUGCGUAGGAGGGCAGGUAAGUCCGUGGUGAAAUCCUAGAGCUUAACUCUAGAACUGCCGUGGAUACUAUCUGUCUUGAAUCCCGUGGAGAUGAGCGGAAUAUGUCAUGUAGCGGUGAAAUGCUUAGAUAUGACAUAGAACACCAAUUGCGAAGGCAGCUCGUUACACGAAGAUUGACUCUGAGGCACGAAGCGUGGGAUCAAACAGG